GAUGAAGAACGUAGUAAAAUGCGAUAAGUAAUGUGAAUUGCAGAAUUCAGUGAAUCAUCGAAUCUUUGAACGCACAUUGCGCCCGCUGGUAUUCCGGCGGGCAUGCCUGUUCGAGCGUCAUUUCAACCCUCAAGCCCCCGGGUUUGGUGUUGGGGAUCGGCUCUGCCCUCUGGGCGGUGCCGCCCCCGAAAUACAUUGGCGGUCUCGCUGCAGCCUCCAUUGCGUAGUAGCUAACACCUCGCAACUGGAACGCGGCGCGGCCAUGCCGUAAAACCCCAACUUCUGAACGUUGACCUCGAAUCAGGUAGGACUACCCGCUGAACUUAAGCAUAUCAAUAAGCGGAGGA
Molecule: unclassified non-coding RNA, 347 nt
Filed under: soil metagenome
Description: partial contains 5.8S ribosomal RNA, internal transcribed spacer 2, and large subunit ribosomal RNA
Rfam family: 5.8S ribosomal RNA (bases 1-120)
Source: RNAcentral